GGGGAUUUAGCUCAGCGGUAGAGCGCUUGCCUAGCAAGCACAAGGCCCUGGGUUCCGUCCCCAGCUCCG
Molecule: transfer RNA, 69 nt
Filed under: Rattus norvegicus (Norway rat)
Lineage: Eukaryota; Metazoa; Chordata; Mammalia; Rodentia; Muridae
Rfam family: tRNA
About the family: Transfer RNA (tRNA) molecules are approximately 80 nucleotides in length. Their secondary structure includes four short double-helical elements and three loops (D, anti-codon, and T loops). Further hydrogen bonds mediate the characteristic L-shaped molecular structure. tRNAs have two regions of fundamental functional importance: the anti-codon, which is responsible for specific mRNA codon recognition, and the 3' end, to which the tRNAs corresponding amino acid is attached (by aminoacyl-tRNA synthetases). tRNAs cope with the degeneracy of the genetic code in two manners: having more than one tRNA (with a specific anti-codon) for a particular amino acid; and 'wobble' base-pairing, i.e. permitting non-standard base-pairing at the 3rd anti-codon position.
Source: Rfam by way of RNAcentral